GGUCUGAGAGGAUGAUCCGCCACACUGGGACUGAGACACGGUCCAGACUCCUACGGGAGGCAGCAGUGGGGAAUAUUGGACAAUGGGGGGAACCCUGAUCCAGCCAUGCCGCGUGUGUGAAGAAGGCCUUUUGGUUGUAAAGCACUUUAAGCGAGGAGGAGGCUACCGAGAUUAAUAGUUUUGGAUAGUGGACGUUACUCGCAGAAUAAGCACCGGCUAACUCUGUGCCAGCAGCCGCGGUAAUACAGAGGGUGCAAGCGUUAAUCGGAUUUACUGGGCGUAAAGCGCGCGUAGGUGGCCAAUUAAGUCAAAUGUGAAAUCCCCGAGCUUAACUUGGGAAUUGCAUUCGAUACU
Molecule: ribosomal RNA, 354 nt
Filed under: bacterium LimB-1-J-92
Lineage: Bacteria
Description: bacterial SSU rRNA
Rfam family: Bacterial small subunit ribosomal RNA
Source: RNAcentral